Molecule: ribosomal RNA, 465 nt
Filed under: Vreelandella stevensii
Lineage: Bacteria; Pseudomonadati; Pseudomonadota; Gammaproteobacteria; Oceanospirillales; Halomonadaceae
Description: partial 16S ribosomal RNA
Rfam family: Bacterial small subunit ribosomal RNA
Source: RNAcentral
CCUACGGGGGGCUGCAGUGGGGAAUAUUGGACAAUGGGGGGAACCCUGAUCCAGCCAUGCCGCGUGUGUGAAGAAGGCCCUCGGGUUGUAAAGCACUUUCAGUGAGGAAGAACGCCUGGUGGUUAAUACCCAUCAGGAAAGACAUCACUCACAGAAGAAGCACCGGCUAACUCCGUGCCAGCAGCCGCGGUAAUACGGAGGGUGCGAGCGUUAAUCGGAAUUACUGGGCGUAAAGCGCGCGUAGGUGGCUUGAUAAGCCGGUUGUGAAAGCCCCGGGCUCAACCUGGGAACGGCAUCCGGAACUGUCAAGCUAGAGUGCAGGAGAGGAAGGUAGAAUUCCCGGUGUAGCGGUGAAAUGCGUAGAGAUCGGGAGGAAUAACAGUGGCGAAGGCGGCCUUCUGGACUGACACUGACACUGAGGUGCGAAAGCGUGGGUAGCAAACAGGAUUAGAUACCCUAGUAGUC